Apis dorsata (giant honeybee) is the source of this 981-nucleotide long non-coding RNA. RefSeq lists it as uncharacterized. The record is from RefSeq and is a predicted model, not a curated record. The transcript is spliced from 2 exons. Lineage: Eukaryota; Metazoa; Arthropoda; Insecta; Hymenoptera; Apidae.
AUCCACACCAGUUUUAUUAUAUAUAAUAAAAAACCUCGAUCGUCCGCGUUAUGAAUUACAGAUUGGCCAAUGCAUAGAGCAAUCGAGCAUCGAGUCGUGGCAGCACCGCGGGUAACGCAUACCUGGCCAGGGGAAGGGGAGGAAAGGGAGGGGAGGGGGACUGGAGCUUGGUAUCCGUCAGUCUCGCGUAGGAUGAGUGGGACGAGGACGACGUAAAAGUACGACGACGAUCCAUCAGAUUGUUACGAGCAGUGAAAUUUGCAACACAAACAGGUUGGCAAACUGCGAGCGGAUGCUGGCUCGAGAGCAAAUAAAGGAGCCUCCAUUUAUUAAGCCGGCAAUAAAAUAGCGCUCCUCUCCUCUUCGUUUCGCCGUCUUCCCUCUCGAUCCGUUCCGAGGCCCGUGGGUGGAACGUCGAGGUGGACCAAGGGGAGGGAAGGAGAGAGAGAGAGAGAGCGAGCGAGGGAGAGAGGGGGGCCCCACACGUCGGGGGACACGGCUGAUUUAUGCGAAAAUCGGGGAGGGGAGGGGGACUCGGGGCCAGGAUUCGAGAGCGCAACACCGCUGCACGAGGUAAUGCCCUGCUACACACGUUGAAUCGGGUUAAUCCACCCCGAACCCUGUCCACCAAGGGGGAAGGAAGGAAGGAGGAGGAAGGUGGAAGUCGGUAACGUUGGAUCAGGUCGAGUUGUGUGGAACAAUCGGUGGGAAAUUUUGCGGAAAAAUUCCAAUUCCGCGUGGAAAAUUCAAUCUCCUCGUGUGGGAAUAUUUAUUUCAAAUAAGCACGAACUAAGAAUGAAUAUGAAUUGUAAUAUUCAAACUUGAUUCAUGAAUGUAUUAAUAAAUAAUGUAAUUCCAUUCAUUUUGCACUUUGCUGAAUGUGGAAACAUUUGUUGUAACUUUAGAUUGGAUAAAUGUAAAUUAGAACAGAAGUAUCCAAGCUUGAUUAAUAAUUAAUGUAGAAACAUUUAUUAUAUCAUU